CCUGAGCUGAACAGAGGUUUGCCCUGUAUUGAUCGUUACAGUAAUGUUUUCUGAAGAGAUGGAUCAAUAUUCAUCUGUGUCUCAGGCUGCAAGGGUCACAGUGCAGUUUCAUUCUGCAUGUAUCUUGCUAUAUUUAUUUCCAGAAUGUUUCAGUGGAGGAAGAUGUGGGACGUUAUGGAGCCUGUUUCAACAAGUGUAACUUGUUCUGGUAUAAAGUGAACUAGUUCACCAAAAAACAACAAACUUGGCAGCAGAGUCACUGAUAGGUUCUAAUGCCAAACUACUAAUAUGUUUGUCAUGUAGCACAAUCACGCAACGCAAUUUUCCUGGCUUUCCAACAUUUUGAAAUAUCCUUUUAAGUUUUGAUUAAUCUGUAAUAUCUUCUGCAGAAUACAUAGCAAGUACAGCUCCUGUGACUCGGUGGCCAUCCUGUUCGCAAACUGCCAUAUGUUACAGCUUUCUUGGUUAAAUUGCCUCCACCUGAGAUAAAGGAAGAUGGGAGAAUGUUUUAAGGGCUCAAAACGAAAAAAAGGUAUCCUGACUGGUGUUCAUCAUUUCCAACAAAAGGAGCCAGCUUCCAGUCGAGGGUCAGUUUCCAGGGCGUCCGCAGACAACUGUUGAAUGGUUUUUCAAAGAAGUAGCUGAUGAAGAAGGAAAACACACAGGCCGUUCUGGCAGUGUCAGCGGGGCGUAUGAGAUAAAAGAAUGCUCUUUUGGAACACCUGAUGCCAAUAAACCCCUGCCAAGUUGGAAUCAACAGGGAGUCAAUGGCCUUCCCAGUCUGGCUUUGACACACAUCUGCUCACUGGAGGUAGUGUGGACCCAGUACCUCACAACUGCAUUAACCUCCGAUAUCUAAACACCCCCCCCCCCCUACAGCCCACCUGUACUCCUGGCAAAACCCUUUUUUAUACUCCCAAGAACCAACAAUUAAUGAGCAGGUUGUUUUCUCUGUCUUAAGGCUAACCUCCCCUGGCAGCAAAUUAAAGCCAAUUAAGGAAAAUAUUUAGACAGUGUAAAUGACGCUUUUGAUUCACCUUGUUUCCAUGAAGCCAUCUGCAAAUGUUAAUGACUGAGUUUGUUGGGAAUUGAUGGCCCUCUCUCUAUAUCUCAUUUGUAGUUUGGUCUUGGAUCCUCAGGACUUGGCUGUCUCCGCUAAUGAACUUGUGCCCUCGGUGGGAUAGCACACACCUCAAUUUUUAUGCAAUCUAUGAGGGGGGGGGAAUCGCCUUUUCUGCAUAGAAAAUUUCUACCAACCUGGGAGUAAUGAUAAUGAUCACAUAAACGCCACUGAUAAUUUGAAAGGCAGUUUGUCUAACAGCAGUGCUGCUAAAUGUACUUUUCUACAAAGGAAUUACAUCUGACGAGGCUCAGCAUCUGUGGUUUUUGUUCUUUUGAAAUAUAAUUGUUCAAUAUGCAAUUUCUGAGCUGCUGAAUACAUUAUGCAUCAUAAGGACUAUUGUUUUGCCUAAGAUUGGGCUCUGUCAAGCCCUUUACAUUCAAAUUUUAAUAAAAGACCAGUAAGUUUUUCCUUUACCCUUUCUGUGUUUCUGUCCAAGAGGAUUUUCUGUAUGAAAGGGAAAUAACACUGAAGUUAUUUUUUCUGUCCAUGCUAUUGUUCUUUGAGAUUAACAAAGAAGCCUGAGUCAGAAUCAUUAUCUCAUGAAUCCAGCACAACUCUGGUAUAUAUGUGUGUACGCGUAUGAGUGUGUAGGUGUUUUUCAGAGUUUUCUUCAGAGUGGAUUCUUGUUCAUGAGCAACAAUUAUUCUCAUUAAACACAGUCGGGAAAAAGUGAUCUGCAUUUAGGACAAAUUAAAAACUAUUCAUUCUGGCUGUAGAAACAUAAUGAUAUUUUUUAUUCUACUGUAUUCAAUAAACCUGCAAUAUUCAUGGAAAAUCAAGGUGGACCUUUGCUUUUUUCAUUAUUCUGAAAAUCUCCU
Molecule: long non-coding RNA, 1941 nt
Filed under: Lepisosteus oculatus (spotted gar)
Lineage: Eukaryota; Metazoa; Chordata; Actinopteri; Semionotiformes; Lepisosteidae
Description: lncRNA (ENSLOCG00000021397.1)
Source: RNAcentral